GCACAUGCUGUGAGCUCGAUGAGUAGGGCGGGACACGUGGUAUCCUGUCUGAAUAUGGGGGGACCAUCCUCCAAGGCUAAAUACUCCUGACUGACCGAUAGUGAACCAGUACCGUGAGGGAAAGGCGAAAAGAACCCCGGCGAGGGGAGUGAAAAAGAACCUGAAACCGUGUACGUACAAGCAGUGGGAGCACGCUUAGGCGUGUGACUGCGUACCUUUUGUAUAAUGGGUCAGCGACUUAUAUUCUGUAGCAAGGUUAACCGAAUAGGGGAGCCGAAGGGAAACCGAGUCUUAACUGGGCGUUAAGUUGCAGGGUAUAGACCCGAAACCCGGUGAUCUAGCCAUGGGCAGGUUGAAGGUUGGGUAACACUAACUGGAGGACCGAACCGACUAAUGUUGAAAAAUUAGCGGAUGACUUGUGGCUGGGGGUGAAAGGCCAAUCAAACCGGGAGAUAGCUGGUUCUCCCCGAAAGCUAUUUAGGUAGCGCCUCGUGAAUUCAUCUCCGGGGGUAGAGCACUGUUUCGGCAAGGGGGUCAUCCCGACUUACCAACCCGAUGCAAACUGCGAAUACCGGAGAAUGUUAUCACGGGAGACACACGGCGGGUGCUAACGUCCGUCGUGAAGAGGGAAACAACCCAGACCGCCAGCUAAGGUCCCAAAGUCAUGGUUAAGUGGGAAACGAUGUGGGAAGGCCCAGACAGCCAGGAUGUUGGCUUAGAAGCAGCCAUCAUUUAAAGAAAGCGUAAUAGCUCACUGGUCGAGUCGGCCUGCGCGGAAGAUGUAACGGGGCUAAACCAUGCACCGAAGCUGCGGCAGCGACGCUUAUGCGUUGUUGGGUAGGGGAGCGUUCUGUAAGCCUGUGAAGGUGUGCUGUGAGGCAUGCUGGAGGUAUCAGAAGUGCGAAUGCUGACAUAAGUAACGAUAAAGCGGGUGAAAAGCCCGCUCGCCGGAAGACCAAGGGUUCCUGUCCAACGUUAAUCGGGGCAGGGUGAGUCGACCCCUAAGGCGAGGCCGAAAGGCGUAGUCGAUGGGAAACAGGUUAAUAUUCCUGUACUUGGUGUUACUGCGAAGGGGGGACGGAGAAGGCUAUGUUGGCCGGGCGACGGUUGUCCCGGUUUAAGCGUGUAGGCUGGUUUUCCAGGCAAAUCCGGAAAAUCAAGGCUGAGGCGUGAUGACGAGGCACUACGGUGCUGAAGCAACAAAUGCCCUGCUUCCAGGAAAAGCCUCUAAGCAUCAGGUAACAUCAAAUCGUACCCCAAACCGACACAGGUGGUCAGGUAGAGAAUACCAAGGCGCUUGAGAGAACUCGGGUGAAGGAACUAGGCAAAAUGGUGCCGUAACUUCGGGAGAAGG
Molecule: ribosomal RNA, 1354 nt
Filed under: Escherichia coli
Lineage: Bacteria; Pseudomonadati; Pseudomonadota; Gammaproteobacteria; Enterobacterales; Enterobacteriaceae
Description: partial 23S ribosomal RNA
Rfam family: Bacterial large subunit ribosomal RNA
Source: RNAcentral